GCCGGGAUGGCGGAAUAGGUAGACGCGCCGGACUUAAAAUCCUGUGGGCCUCAAGCCCGUGCGGGUUCGAUUCCCGCUCCUGGUA
Molecule: transfer RNA, 85 nt
Filed under: Spirosoma terrae
Lineage: Bacteria; Pseudomonadati; Bacteroidota; Cytophagia; Cytophagales; Cytophagaceae
Description: tRNA-Leu
Rfam family: tRNA
About the family: Transfer RNA (tRNA) molecules are approximately 80 nucleotides in length. Their secondary structure includes four short double-helical elements and three loops (D, anti-codon, and T loops). Further hydrogen bonds mediate the characteristic L-shaped molecular structure. tRNAs have two regions of fundamental functional importance: the anti-codon, which is responsible for specific mRNA codon recognition, and the 3' end, to which the tRNAs corresponding amino acid is attached (by aminoacyl-tRNA synthetases). tRNAs cope with the degeneracy of the genetic code in two manners: having more than one tRNA (with a specific anti-codon) for a particular amino acid; and 'wobble' base-pairing, i.e. permitting non-standard base-pairing at the 3rd anti-codon position.
Source: RNAcentral